RNAcentral lists this ribosomal RNA (424 nucleotides) under cf. Entychides sp. Mexico MY3548. Its description in RNAcentral is "partial 16S ribosomal RNA". It matches the Rfam family "Archaeal large subunit ribosomal RNA", at positions 1923 to 2672 of the family's 2987-position model. The record is from RNAcentral. Lineage: Eukaryota; Metazoa; Arthropoda; Arachnida; Araneae; Euctenizidae.
UUCUAAAUGAGAUAAUAUUUAGUAAGACCUGCUCAAUGAUUUUAAAUAGCCGCUUUUAAGUGCUAAGGUAGCGCAAUAAAUAGCCUUUUAAUUGAAGGCCAGUAUGAAAGGUUUAACAUGUGAUUAUCUUUAUUAAUUUAAUUUCUUAAAUUUUUCUUUAAAGCAAAAAGACUUUAAUUAUAAAAGGGACGACAAGACCCUAUCGAGCUUCACUUAUGUUUAACUGGGAGGGUAAAAAACUAUUUCUUUAUUAUUCAUUUUUUCAAAUCCUAUCCAUUAGAAUAAAAAGUUACCGUAGGGAUAACAGCAUAAUUUUUUUUUAGAGACCUUUUCAAAAAAAGAGAUUAUGACCUCGAUGUUGAAUAUUUUUCUUUUUGGAGCAGACACUAAAAAAGAAAGUCUGUUCGACUUUUAAAACUUUACA